GACGAACGCUGGCGGCGUGCCUAACACAUGCAAGUCGAACGGAAAGGCCCUGCUUUUGUGGGGUGCUCGAGUGGCGAACUGGUGAUUAACACGUGAGUAACCUGCCCUUGACUUUGGGAUAACUUCAGGAAACUGGGGCUAAUACCGGUUAGGAGCUCUUGCUUCAUGGUGUGUGUUGGCAAGUUUCGGCUGUUGGGGAUUUGUUCGCUGCUUACCACCUUGUUUGUGGGGUAGUGGCUUACCACGGGUUUGACUGGUUGCCUGCCUGAGAGGGGGAACGGGCACAUGGGGACUGAGAGAGGGAGCAGUAGGGAACGGGAGGCAGCAGUGGGGAAUAUUGCAGAAUGAGGGGAAGCCAGAGGCAGAAACGCCGCGUGCGGGAUGACGGCUUUUGGGUUGAGAACCGAUUUCGCAGGUAACGAAGAGUGAGUGACGGUAAUGGGUAAAGAAGCAACGGCUAACUACGUG
Molecule: ribosomal RNA, 468 nt
Filed under: uncultured bacterium
Lineage: Bacteria
Description: partial 16S ribosomal RNA
Rfam family: Bacterial small subunit ribosomal RNA
Source: RNAcentral